CAGGCCUAACACAUGCAAGUCGAACGGGUCCUUCGGGACUGGUGCCGGACGGGUGAGUAACGCGUGGGAACGUGCCCCUUGGCCGGAAUAGCCCCGGGAAACUGGGAGUAAUACCGAAUGUGGUCCAGAGACCAAAGAUUUAUCGCCAAGGGAUCGACCCGCGUUGGAUUAGGUAGUUGGUGGGGUAAUGGCCUACCACUCCGACGAUCCAUAACUGGUUUGAGAGGAUGAUCUCCCACACUGGGACUGAAACACGAUCCAUACUCCUGCGGGAGGCACCCGUGGGGAAUCUUAGACGAUGGGGGAAACCCUGAUCUAUGCAUGCCGCGUGAUCGAUGAAUGCCUUAGGGUUGUAAGGAUCUUUCAGGUGGGAAGAUAGUGACUGUACCACCAUAAGAAGCCCCGGCUAACUCCGUGCCAGCUGCCGCUUUAAUACGGAGGGGGCUAGCGUUAUUCGGAAUUACUGGGCGUAAAGCCCACGUAAGCGGACCAGAAAGUCAGAGGUGAAAACCCGGGGCUCAACCCCGGAACUGCCUUUGAAACUCCUGGUCUUGAGGUCAAGAGAGGUGACUGGAAUUCCAAUGGUAUAGGUGAAAUUCAUAUAUAUUCCGAUGAACACCGGUGGCAAUUGCUGCUCACUGGCUCGAUACUGACACUGAGGAGCGAACGCGUGUGGAGCAAACAAGAUUAUAUACCCUGACAGUCCACGCCGUACACGAUGAAUGCCAGACAUCGGGUAUUCAUGCUAUUCGGUGUCACACCCUAACGAAUAAGUCAUUCCGCCUGGUGGAGAUUCGGCC
RNAcentral lists this ribosomal RNA (800 nucleotides) under uncultured bacterium. RNAcentral describes it as "bacterial SSU rRNA". It matches the Rfam family "Bacterial small subunit ribosomal RNA", at positions 43 to 887 of the family's 1533-position model. The record is from RNAcentral.